Molecule: small nuclear RNA, 164 nt
Organism: Otolemur garnettii (small-eared galago)
Lineage: Eukaryota; Metazoa; Chordata; Mammalia; Primates; Galagidae
Gene: U1
Rfam family: U1 spliceosomal RNA
About the family: U1 is a small nuclear RNA (snRNA) component of the spliceosome (involved in pre-mRNA splicing). Its 5' end forms complementary base pairs with the 5' splice junction, thus defining the 5' donor site of an intron.
Source: Ensembl
ACACUUAACUGGCAGGGGAGAUACCAUGAUUAUGGAGGUGGUUUUCCCAGGGUGAGACUUGUCUAUUGCACUCUGGAUGUGCUGACCCUUGCAAUUUCCCCAAACGUGGGAAACUCGACUGCAUAAUUUGUGGUAGUGGGGGACUGCAUUCACACUCUCCCCUU